This 253-nucleotide ribosomal RNA is filed under the name uncultured bacterium. Its description in RNAcentral is "partial 16S ribosomal RNA". It matches the Rfam family "Bacterial small subunit ribosomal RNA", at positions 524 to 776 of the family's 1533-position model. The record is from RNAcentral.
UACAGAGGGUGCAAGCGUUAAUCGGAAUUACUGGGCGUAAAGCGUGCGCAGUCGGUUAUUUAAGUCGGAUGUGAAAUCCCCGGGCUCAACCUGGGAAUUGCAUUCGAUACUGGAUAGCUAGAGUUCGGCAGAGGGAAGCGGAAUUUCUGGUGUAGCGGUGAAAUGCGUAGAUAUCAGAAGGAACAUCAGUGGCGAAAGCGGCUUCCUGGACCAGAACUGACGAUCAGGCACGAAAGCGUGGGGAGCAAACGGG